CACGGAACCUCUUACAAGGCUACUACAAAAGCACGACGUAAAAGUUUGCAACAAGCCAAUGAAAACCCUCCAGCAAGAAUUUCCAUCCGCAAAACACCGACCUUCAUCCGAAAAUCAGACAAACGUGGUUUAUCGUAUACCGUGUCAAAGUUGUCCAUGGAGUUAUAUAGGAGAAACCGGAAGGUCGCUGAAGACAAGAAAAUCGGAACACGUAAGAAAUGUAAAGAAUCACAAGACUGGAUCUAAUGUAGCAAAACAUGCAUGGACUUACGACCACAGGAUUGACUUUGAAAACGCGGAAGUUAUCGAUAAGGGAAAUUUUAGGACCCGAAAAACUCUAGAGUCAUGGCAUACAGCCUUAACAACUG
This is a non-coding RNA of Paramuricea clavata, 368 nucleotides long. NCBI's taxonomy places the organism in Eukaryota, Metazoa, Cnidaria, Anthozoa, Malacalcyonacea, Plexauridae. The record is from the annotation of a GenBank genome assembly.